CACACACACACACACACACACACACACACACACACACACACCGUAACACAUAGGGGAAAAGAAAAGUGCGGAGAGUGUUAAUUUCUGUAACAUGUGGCAAAGAACGACGAGCUAGGACCCUCCUCCUCGCCCCGGCUCUGUCACAAAGCAGAACCGAACGCUGAAGCUGAACCCUUGCAGCUAUUUUGGCACAAAGUCAAAAGGCUGAUAAGCAUUUCUGGGUGAGACUCGGCUGCUUUUCCUCGAGGAAAAACAGUUGCCACUUGCCCGGUAUUCGACAUUCAACAGUUCAGAGAAAAAUUUAGUGAAACCCCCCAGAGAUGCUGAUUUGCCCCUUUUUUAAAAUAGAGAAGAGGAAGAAGAAAACGACAGAACAUGAUGAUCUAGAUGAUUUGUUCAAACCAAAUCCAGGCAGUGAUUUACAUGAAGUGAGCCAGCGAGGGAAGUGGAGGGGGAGACCUAAACAGCAGGGCUGUUUCCACCAUCUUAGAUUGUAUUGAUUAUUCUCACACACGCUAGCUCUCUUUCUCUCCCCUUCUGUCCCUCCCUCCCUCUUUCUGUCUGUUCUGCCACCUUCUCUACUCGGCGAUCAGCAUUUGGCUUUUUCCAUUUGUGGCAGAUUACUGUAACGCUAUUGUACAACAACUUCCUGCCUCUUUUGGCUCUGGUUCUAAAAAACUGCAAAGGCAGAGCUCGUGGCUUUAACUUUUUCCCCCUCGGCCUUGAACUACAGGAGCUCUAUGAGGGAAGAAAAGGAGGAAGGGGAUAUGUAAAGUGUAUCUGUUACUGAGGAACUAUUUUGAUUUCAUUUCUGCUUUAUAAACUGCUGAGAAUUAAAGAGGGCAAGAGGGGACUACAUGCCUAAGCAGAGACAAUGAGAGAAAAAAGGAUUCGGAAGGAAGAAAAGGAGGAAGAGAGACACAGAGAGAAAAAGAGCAAAGGAGAGUUUAUCCUGGGAAUAAGCUGGAAAUUAUGGACCUAUUCGAUAUCAGACCUCAGAGUGGACAACCUAUCCUAGGAGGGACGCGCCCUAACUGUAACUAACAGCUACUUCUGGCAACCCCUCAACAACCAGACAUAUUGUCCUGGAUCAGGGCCGCUCUUGUAUGGCAGCACCGAACGAGGGCAGCUCAGGCAGGAAAUCCACCUACAGCAUCAAUUAUAUUAAGAAUAAAACUUUUGAUAACAAUGCAUUAAAAGUAAAUUGAAGCACUUUUUUUAAAAAAAGAUAUAGCUUGAACUGUAAACUGUGAUCCCUUCAAGAUGUUGCUUAUCAAACCUUAAGCAUGUUAAGCUGACAUGAACAAGAGAAAAUAAAUAAAUUAGAAUUUUCAGAUUACACAGUGGAUCCUGCACAUAUCUUUAUUUUUUUAAAAUAUUACUAUUAAUUAUUGAAUGUUUCCACCUGGUUUUUUGCUGUGCUGCUUUAAUUUCAUUGUAUAAGUCUGAAGUUGUCAAAACUACAUCACAGCAGAAGCACAGCACAUGGUUUCAAUUAAUUUAUAAGAAAUGUGAACUUCCAAAUGAUGAAUAUAUUCUGAUUGAAAACUCUUUUUAGUGACUGUGUAUUAAUUGUAAUACUAAUAGUAUUAUGGAAAUCAUAAGAGAAAAACUGGGUAUCAUUUUAGAGUCAUAGCACUGAGUGUAAUCUAGUGUCAGAGAAACUGCACUGUGAGAAUACUGAUCUACGGCACUAAGUUAACUGAGGUGCUGGGACAAAUUCUCAAAAGUCAAUGACACGUAAUGAUAAUAAUAUAAAGUACAUUCUCCUUCUCUGUCCACUCGACUAGCUGCAUCAGACUUCUACAUACUUGAACUCUCCCAGUGCAGUUUCCCCCUGGGGGCUGCUAGUACCUACUUUAAACAGCUUUGGCCAUUUCGUUUUUAUCCUUCCUCAUCACUAAGCCAAGAGUGUGCAGCCCUGGCAUUUUAGGGGCCACGUCACAACACCUGUGUCUGCGCCGCAGGGCUGCAAGGAGUCCAGCAGCCGAGCCAUACGCACUCAGCGGUUCGCUGCUUCGACCAACACUUCAUGCGUUCUGUUCCGCUAUCUCACACACUCCGUCUAGCAUCCUUGCUCUACUGAGGACAGCAAAACACGCACCUAAUACACUUUAUCCAAUUCAUAAACAUGCUCUCUUCCUUCCCCCUGAGCCUGCAGCCCCCGAGUGACUUCACAGCACUUUCUAACUUCUGAUUACAACUGUGAUAUUAGCUUAGGUGUAUGAUAGCUUCACUGGAAAACAAGAAGUAAGGAAGGAAAUAUUCCAUAUACUCAUCCGAUUCCCUAUUCAGCAAUGCCAUUUAAUAAACUUCCUAUCUGUUUCUUUGCAGAGCUAAAAAUAUGUGGCAACCCUUCACAAGGGACACAGCCCUGAUAUCGAUUUUGAAAGUGUCACAAAUGAAACCAGCGAUUACAUAGAUUCCACACCCUAUAAUUCAUAUGUGUAAUGUUAUUAGCAGAUGGAUAUUUAUUUAUGUGGGAGAAAAGACGCACUUCACUGGACAGCUGCAUAAACAGAGGUUAUACUCCAUGGGUUAUUUCUGCAAAUUUAUUAGCUCUUUCAAUUCCUGCAAAAUAUUAUUUUAAUAAUAUCAAAAUAAUAUGUGUUUCAGGCAUGCUUCACUUUUCAAAGAAAACGAACCUCAUGCCAACAUCAUAUAUGUCUAGAACUAUACAUUGCACCUUUUAUUAAAUAAAACAUUUCUUCUCUUUUGUACUUA
Molecule: long non-coding RNA, 2724 nt
Organism: Amphiprion ocellaris (clown anemonefish)
Lineage: Eukaryota; Metazoa; Chordata; Actinopteri; Pomacentridae
Exons: 2
Source: RefSeq, a predicted model, not a curated record